RNAcentral lists this ribosomal RNA (468 nucleotides) under uncultured bacterium. Its description in RNAcentral is "partial 16S ribosomal RNA". It matches the Rfam family "Bacterial small subunit ribosomal RNA", at positions 28 to 507 of the family's 1533-position model. The record is from RNAcentral.
GACGAACGCUGGCGGCGUGCUUAACACAUGCAAGUCGAACGGAAAGGCCCUGCUUUUGUGGGGUGCUCGAGUGGCGAACGGGUGAGUAACACGUGAGUAACCUGCCCUUGACUUUGGGAUAACUUCAGGAAACUGGGGCUAAUACCGGAUAGGAGAUCCUGCUGCAUGGUGGGGGUUGGAAAGUUUCGGCGGUUGGGGAUGGACUCGCGGGUUAUCAGCUUGUUGGUGGGGUAGUGGCUUACCAGGGCUUUGACGGGUAGCCGGCCUGGGAGGGGUAACGGCCACAUGGGGACUGCGGUACGGCCCAGACUCCAACGGGAGGCAGCAGGGGGGAAUAUUGCACAACGGGGGGAAGCCUGAGGCGGAAACGCCGCGUGCGGAAUGACGGCUUUCGGGUGAAAAACCGCUUUCGCCGGAGACGAGGAGUGAGUGACGGUAAUGGGUAAAAAAGCACCGGCUAACUACGUG